Ostrea edulis (European flat oyster) is the source of this 2198-nucleotide long non-coding RNA. RefSeq lists it as uncharacterized. NCBI's taxonomy places the organism in Eukaryota, Metazoa, Mollusca, Bivalvia, Ostreida, Ostreidae. The transcript is spliced from 2 exons. The record is from RefSeq and is a predicted model, not a curated record.
UCAUGUUUUUUUUUAAUUCAACGAUUUCCCCCAUAAUUACCUAGCCUAGUGGGUCAACAGGCAUCGUUUGAACAGGACACUAAGUCACGUAAGACAUAGAUGCCAUGUCUAGGUCUCUUAAUUAUAGCACCUCUAAUCCACAACCUGUUUACCGCAGGUCUAGACCAAGUCUUUCCAAUUUCAUCAGGGUUGUCACUAAUGAAUUUUCAAAGUGAAUCCCGGACUCAUGGUUUUAUAAGCAGCACGAUCACGAGCCCCAUGAACUUUUUUGAUAAUCUUCUACGCGGUGAGCAGUGCACUUGUGUCAUCACUACAACCUGACCUCAAUAUGACAAUAAAUUGAUUUUGAUAGGACAUUAAUUCUCAUGAUUCUGAUAAAAAUAACUACCGGAAGACUUGGUAAAACAUCCCGAUGUUUUUUUUUUUUUUAGAUGAAUGAAUAACAAAAACCUCAUACUUGGAAUUCAAUUCAAUUUAAUCACCCCUAUAGAUGAACAGGACUCGUAGCCGCGUGGCACAUGUUUAUAUUUUUCAUCAUAAUGCGAUGUCCGACCUCUAAAGCAUUUGUUUGACUCCGAGUUUCUUUUAAAAAAAUCAUAAAAGAAAAAUCCGGAUAGAAACGGGUCUUGAAAUCGGUCGUUUAUGUAAGCAUUUGUAUGAUUCAGAGUGCAUUAGUUUAGGAAAAGUGAGUAGCUCAUUACCGUAUAAAACGGAUACGAUCUUAGUUUGUAAAUCACUACUCACUAAGAUUUUCGAGUGUCCACUAUUUUUACUCGCUGUUUUUCAAAUGUACUCGCAUUUUGCGAGUAUUUCUCGCUAAUUUCGAGCCCUGGCAUUGUACUAAGUUCCAAAUCUAUCUAAAAUUGGAUAAGCCAUAUAGGGAGAAGUGUUCACAAGCUGUUUUACAUCCUCCAACCCUCUUAGAUCCACUACAACUUUUAGGAAAAUAAUUGGAUCUUCCUGUCCUGACAAUAUGCACAUCUACAAAUGGCAAUGAAGCAUUGUACAAAGUUUCAAGUCUAUCCGACAAGCCAUAUAGAAGUGUUCACAAGAUUUUGUGACAGAUCGACAGAAAGUACAAAAACAAUGUCCCCCCCCCCCCCCCCCCCCCCCCCCCCGAAAGAGGGGAGAUAUAAUUUACAAGAGGAAGCUUGCAUAUCUGUAUGUCAUAUUGAUCAGGGCAGGGCUCAAAAUAACUGACAGCCGGGAGCCCGAUGGUCCUAGGCCAGUAAAUUAUGGAUUUGGCUAGUAAUUUGUAAAGAACAUGGAUGUCCUUGAGGCAAGUUGAUUUUAAUACUUAUCAAAAUUUAUCAACUAAAAGUUUUUACAUGUAUAUUAGAUGUGCGUCAUCUGGGUUCUGAGAAAGUGGAGAUCUGCAUAUUUUUUAUCUUAACGUAGACCGAUGGAUAGAGAAGUCUUGAUUUCAUUAAUUCUUUAUCCAAUUGAUUGAUACUGAUAAUCAACUCUUCCAGAUUUUAUCCGAUAUGGUCUGGAGAAAGCUUAUAAAACACAGUUCCAACAGGUCUUUCUUCUCUUUAAAACUUUUUUCUUUUCUCAAAUGAAUUUGAUUGCAGAAGGUAAAUUAUAGUGACAGAUCUAGAGUGGUUACAUAGGAUGAAAAAUCUACAUAAGUUACUUUAAAGGACAUCAAUAAAUCCCCCAUUUCGAAAAGAAAACGAUAUCAUAUUUAAGUGAAACAUCAUCUGUGUUUUUGUAAGUGAACAGAACCACUUAUUAUAAAUUUAUUCCAAUGUGCUUCACUUAAUAAAUCAAGAUUUCAUUGUACUUAUGAAUUUUAUCACUUGUACUCUAGCACUUAUGAAUCACACUAGUGAAUGUGUAUGUACUUGCACAGGUUGCAGCUAGUAUAUAUAUGAUUUAAAUACAAAUUUUGAGAACUUUAUAUUUCUUUAUAAGGGUCAGAAGAGGGUAACCCGAAUUACCGAAAUGCCCGCCAUUUACCAAAAUGCCUCCAGAAAUUACCAAAAUGUCACCUAAAACUACCAAAAUUCCCUUCUAAAUAUUUUAUGAUUAUAGACCUCCAAUGUCACAGAAGAGGAGUCUCUUGACAGUCAGACACUGCACUGUCCAAAAUUUGAUGCAAGGGACACGACUCAUACUUGUAUCUAAGCAGUUACUUCAUUGAUCUCGUAAAAUAAAGCAAAACAUAUAUGCAAAAUACACAAGAAAAACCACAA